CUGAAAAAGCAGCUAACCUUACAUUCUUCUCUCUUCUUCAUUUGCCGAGUCUAUCCUGCCAAGUCUUUUUGCAGGAGAAGAACAUUUCUUUCUGACCCCCAGAGAGAUCAACAGAUGCCUUCAAGCGGGGACAAUGCAAAAGCGCACUGACACGCAGGCUGAGCAGCUCCGAAACUUAUCGAGUGUGUCCUUCCUGCCUCCAACCCUGUCGCCUGUCAUCCCUUCUUGUCACCAGGCUCCUGUUCAUUUGCUCGCUGCUCACACUAAUCUAGAAGAUGAUCAAAGGAAAAGGUCCACCGACUCACCCCUGCCUGGUCCAGCACGGGGAUUGGUCAAGCAUAUGAAAUGGGGUGAUUUGACUUUGUACAGUUCCUCCUAGGAUGGGGCCAGAGAGAAGCAACUGGAAAACUGACUCCACCUUGCCAAAGAAGAACAGAUUUUGGAUUCUUUGGUAUAUAUAUAAAAAAAUCAAUUCUCUGUGCCCCCCCUUCCGAGCCACCAUUCGCCAUUCCCGUACCCACUGAUGCCUUCUCUCCUUUUCUAUACCAUUUCCAAGAAGACCUGUCCCUGAAGAACCAGCCCCAUUCUGACUUGCCAGUUGGAAACAAACAAAAAGUGAUUAUAAAUGAAAAUAAGUUAU
Apodemus sylvaticus (European woodmouse) is the source of this 640-nucleotide long non-coding RNA. RefSeq lists it as uncharacterized. The transcript is spliced from 3 exons. NCBI's taxonomy places the organism in Eukaryota, Metazoa, Chordata, Mammalia, Rodentia, Muridae. The record is from RefSeq and is a predicted model, not a curated record.